RNAcentral lists this ribosomal RNA (440 nucleotides) under uncultured bacterium. RNAcentral describes it as "partial 16S ribosomal RNA". It matches the Rfam family "Bacterial small subunit ribosomal RNA", at positions 338 to 795 of the family's 1533-position model. The record is from RNAcentral.
CCUACGGGAGGCUGCAGUGGGGAAUAUUGCACAAUGGGGGAAACCCUGAUGCAGCGACGCCGCGUGAGUGAAGAAGUAUUUCGGUACGUAAAGCCCUAUCAGCAGGGAAGAAAAUGACGGUACCUGACUAAGAAGCCCCGGCUAACUACGUGCCAGCAGCCGCGGUAAUACGUAGGGGGCAAGCGUUAUCCGGAUUUACUGGGUGUAAAGGGAGCGUAGACGGCAGCGCAAGUCUGGAGGGAAAUCCCAUGGCUUAACCAUGGAACUGCUUUGGAAACUGUGCAGCUAGAGUGCAGGAGAGGUAAGCGGAAUUCCUAGUGUAGCGGUGAAAUGCGUAGAUAUUAGGAGGAACACCAGUGGCGAAGGCGGCUUACUGGACUGUAACUGACGUUGAGGCUCGAAAGCGUGGGGAGCAAACAGGAUUAGAUACCCGGGUAGUC